This 253-nucleotide ribosomal RNA is filed under the name uncultured bacterium. RNAcentral's name for it is "partial 16S ribosomal RNA". It matches the Rfam family "Bacterial small subunit ribosomal RNA", at positions 524 to 776 of the family's 1533-position model. The record is from RNAcentral.
UACAGAGGGCUCAAGCGUUAAUCGGAUUCACUGGGCUUAAAGGGUGUGUAGGCGGGUGGGUCAGUGCUUUGUGAAAUCCCAUGGCUUAACCAUGGAACUGCUUAGCAUACUGCCUACCUUGAGAUCGGUAGAGGUUGCCGGAACUCUAGGUGUAGCGGUGAAAUGCGUAGAUAUCUAGAGGAACGCCAAAGGUGAAGACAGGCAGCUGGGCCGAAUCUGACGCUGAGACACGAAAGCGUGGGUAGCGAACGGG